This 119-nucleotide ribosomal RNA is filed under the name Betta splendens (Siamese fighting fish). The record is from RNAcentral. Lineage: Eukaryota; Metazoa; Chordata; Actinopteri; Anabantiformes; Osphronemidae.
GCUUACGGCCAUACCACCCUGAGCACCCUCGAUCUCGUCUGAUCUUGGAAGCUAAGCAGAGUCGGGCCUGGUUAGUACUUGGAUGGGAGACCGCCUGGGAAUACCAGGUGCUCUAAGCU